AAUCAACGCUGGCGGCGUGCCUCAGACAUGCAAGUCGAACGAUUAAAGCUCCCUUCGGGAGUGCAUAGAGUGGCGCACGGGUGAGUAACACGUAAGUAAUCUACCUUUGAGUGGGGAAGUAACAGUCGGAAACGGCUGCUAAUACCGCAUAAUGCAGCGGCAUCGCAAGAAUGACAGUUGUUAAAGGAAGCAAUCCGCUUAAAGAGGAGCUUGCGGCAGAUUAGCUUGUUGGUAAGGUAACGGCUUACCAAGGCUACGAUCUGUAUCCGGUCUAAGAGGACGGUCGGACACACUGACACUGAAUAACGGGUCAGACUCCUACGGGAGGCAGCAGUCGGGAA
This 341-nucleotide ribosomal RNA is filed under the name uncultured bacterium. Its description in RNAcentral is "bacterial SSU rRNA". It matches the Rfam family "Bacterial small subunit ribosomal RNA", at positions 32 to 361 of the family's 1533-position model. The record is from RNAcentral.